RNAcentral lists this ribosomal RNA (400 nucleotides) under uncultured bacterium. RNAcentral describes it as "bacterial SSU rRNA". It matches the Rfam family "Bacterial small subunit ribosomal RNA", at positions 356 to 773 of the family's 1533-position model. The record is from RNAcentral.
GGGGAAUCUUAGACAAUGGGCGCAAGCCUGAUCUAGCCAUGCCGCGUGAGCGAUGAAGGCCUUAGGGUUGUAAAGCUCUUUCAGUGGGGAAGAUAAUGACUGUACCCACAGAAGAAGCCCCGGCUAACUCCGUGCCAGCAGCCGCGGUAAUACGGAGGGGGCUAGCGUUGUUCGGAAUUACUGGGCGUAAAGCGCACGUAGGCGGACCAGAAAGUUGGGGGUGAAAUCCCGGGGCUCAACCUCGGAACUGCCUUCAAAACUCCUGGUCUUGAGGUCGAGAGAGGUGAGUGGAAUUCCGAGUGUAGAGGUGAAAUUCGUAGAUAUUCGGAGGAACACCAGUGGCGAAGGCGGCUCACUGGCUCGAUACUGACGCUGAGGUGCGAAAGCGUGGGGAGCAAAC